This 253-nucleotide ribosomal RNA is filed under the name uncultured bacterium. Its description in RNAcentral is "partial 16S ribosomal RNA". It matches the Rfam family "Bacterial small subunit ribosomal RNA", at positions 524 to 776 of the family's 1533-position model. The record is from RNAcentral.
GACAGAGGGUGCAAACGUUGCUCGGAAUUAUUGGGCGUAAAGCGCGCGCAGGCGGUCGUUCAAGUCGAGUGUGAAAGCCCCCGGCUCAACUGGGGAGGGUCAUUCGAUACUGAUCGACUCGAAGGCAGGAGAGGGAAGUGGAAUUCCCGGUGUAGUGGUGAAAUGCGUAGAUAUCGGGAGGAACACCAGUGGCGAAGGCGACUUCCUGGCCUGUUCUUGACGCUGAGGCGCGAAAGCUAGGGGAGCAAACGGG